This 257-nucleotide ribosomal RNA is filed under the name uncultured bacterium. RNAcentral describes it as "partial 16S ribosomal RNA". It matches the Rfam family "Bacterial small subunit ribosomal RNA", at positions 15 to 263 of the family's 1533-position model. The record is from RNAcentral.
GAUCAUGGCUCAGGACGAACGCUGGCGGCGUGCCUAACACAUGCAAGUCGAGCGGAGACAGGGAGUAGCUUGCUAUGAACUGUUUUAGCGGCGGACGGGUGAGUAACGCGUGAGCAACCUUUCCCAGACAGGGGAAUAACACACCGAAAGGUGUACUAAUACCGCAUAAGACCACGGUUUCACAUGGAACUGAGGUAAAAGAUUUAAUCGGUUUUGGGGUGGGCUCGCGUCCGAUUAGGUAGUUGGUGAGGUAACGG